CGUGUUUUACAUCGGCUGAAAGUUGAUUGCAUUCGAUUUGGAACCGGGCUGCCUUCCGGGCUCGAGCCAGGUGCCCUGUUCAAAGCCCACUGCGAAGUCGGCUCCAAACAAAAGUGACUGUUCUCUCACAGGUACGAAGAUGUGGGCGAUUGAAAAGCACCUUGUGAACUGGAGCAGACGGCAUAAACACAUUGGAGAACACGCUUCGUGCCAGGGAGCGGACGUGCAAGAUACCUGGCAAUACAAAGUACCAGGAUCACUGUGCCUGGACCACUGUGCCUGGACCACUGUGCCUGGACCACUGUGCCUGGACCACUGAUGCGCACAUGACAGGGGAGAAGGGGGUUGACCCUGUAACGUCAUCGGUUAAUCUCUUGACGUGGUCGACCAUGCCCAGGAAAAUAAAAUUCACUUGUUAACCAUCA
Molecule: non-coding RNA, 425 nt
Organism: Salmo salar (Atlantic salmon)
Lineage: Eukaryota; Metazoa; Chordata; Actinopteri; Salmoniformes; Salmonidae
Source: RefSeq, a predicted model, not a curated record